RNAcentral lists this ribosomal RNA (658 nucleotides) under Rhincalanus cornutus. RNAcentral describes it as "eukaryotic LSU rRNA". It matches the Rfam family "Eukaryotic large subunit ribosomal RNA", at positions 87 to 667 of the family's 3401-position model. The record is from RNAcentral. Lineage: Eukaryota; Metazoa; Arthropoda; Copepoda; Calanoida; Eucalanidae.
UGGCGAUGAACGGGAUUAGCCCAUCGCGGAACUGCAGGUCAUCUUGGCCUCGCGGAAUGUCGCGUUCGGGAGAGUCUUAUCGAGUUCUUUCCAGCCAGUCAAAGUCCAACUUGACUGUGGCCACUGCCCAUAGAGGGUGAUAGGCCCGUAAGGCGGCUGUUUGUUCUCGCUGACUUUUCCUUAGAGUCGGGUUGCUUGGGAGUGCAGCCCAAAGUGUGAGGUAAACUCCUCAUAAGGCUAAAUAUCACACCGAGACCGAUAGCAAACAAGUACCGUGAGGGAAGAUUGAAAAGAACUUUGAAGAGAGAGUUCAAUAGUACGUGAAACUGUGUGGUGGUAAACGGAGGGGUUCUCGAAGUUUCUGUGGGGAACUCAACCUUGGUGGUUUGCAGCCCUGUUGUCUUUGAUCAGCAAUGACUUUGCAGCUUGUCUCGCUUUCCUCCCGGGUGCAUUUCCCCCGCAGUUUACGACAGGAACCGUUUGGCUCAGACCGAAGGCUUCGGGUGAAGUUGUUGGUUCUGCCUUCAGCCCCGUUCUCCUGGCUCUGAACCAGACGGGUACGUGAGAGGACUCGUAUAUCGAGCAAUGCUCUGUUGCGGUUCUCAUCUCUCUGUCGAGUAGGUCGGCGGCCCCUCCGACCCGUCUUGAAACACGGACC